RNAcentral lists this long non-coding RNA (226 nucleotides) under Mytilus galloprovincialis (Mediterranean mussel). Lineage: Eukaryota; Metazoa; Mollusca; Bivalvia; Mytilida; Mytilidae. The record is from RNAcentral.
GUCCUGGUAUCUAUGAUGAGUUUAUUUACUACCACUGGGUCGAUGCCACUGCUGGUGGAGAUUUAUUUCCCCGAGGGUAUCACCAGCCCAGUAGUCAGCACUUUUUGUGAUGACAUGAAUUGUCAUUGAUAUGGUUAUAUUUAUUAAUUAACUGUUUACAAAAUUUAGAAUUUUUGAAAUACUAAGACUUUUCUUCCUCAGGCAUAGAUUACAUUAGCUGGAUUUG